Molecule: unclassified non-coding RNA, 257 nt
Filed under: air metagenome
Description: partial contains small subunit ribosomal RNA, internal transcribed spacer 1, and 5.8S ribosomal RNA
Rfam family: Eukaryotic small subunit ribosomal RNA (bases 1-46)
Source: RNAcentral
AAGUCGUAACAAGGUUUCCGUAGGUGAACCUGCGGAAGGAUCAUUAAAUAUCGGUAGUUUACUAUCGUUUGAGGGGUGUGGAAACUGCCUUCAAAGCAGGAGUACGUGCCUUUUCUUAACCCUUGACUUUUUGCGCACUUGUGUUUCCUCGGCAGGCUUGCCUGCCGAUUGGACAAAUCAAUAACCUUUUUAAUUUUGAAUCAGCGUCUGAAUUAUUUUAAUAAUUACAACUUUCAACAACGGAUCUCUUGGUUCUG